CGCGUAGGCGGUUUGGAAAGUCAGAUGUGAAAUUCCGGAGCUCAACUCCGGAACUGCAUUUGAAACUUCCAGACUAGAGUACAGUUAGGGAAAACGGAAUUCCACGUGUAGCGGUGAAAUGCGUAGAUAUGUGGAAGAACACCAGUGGUGAAGACGGUUUUCUGGGCUGAAACUGACGCUGAGGCGCGAAGCAAGGGGAGCAAACA
Molecule: ribosomal RNA, 206 nt
Filed under: uncultured bacterium
Lineage: Bacteria
Description: partial 16S ribosomal RNA
Rfam family: Bacterial small subunit ribosomal RNA
Source: RNAcentral